This 497-nucleotide ribosomal RNA is filed under the name uncultured bacterium. Its description in RNAcentral is "partial 16S ribosomal RNA". It matches the Rfam family "Bacterial small subunit ribosomal RNA", at positions 28 to 507 of the family's 1533-position model. The record is from RNAcentral.
GAUGAACGCUGGCGGCGUGCCUAAUACAUGCAAGUCGAGCGAAAGGACGCGACGCUUGCGUUUCUGAUGUUAGCCGCGGGCGGGUGAGUAACACGUGGAUCACCUACCUAUAAGACUGGUAUCACUUCGGGACACCGGAGCUUAUAUCAUAUAAUCUUUUGCACCGCGUGGGUCAAAGGUGAAAGUCGGUCUUUGUGUCACUUAUCGCUGGAUCCGGGCUGCAUGAGCUAGUUGUGAGGUUAACGGCUUACCAAGGCAACGAUGCAUAGCCGACCUGAGAGGGUGGUCGGCGACACUGGAACUGAGACACGGUCCAUGCUCCUACGGGAGGCAGCAGUAGGGAAUCUUCCGCAAUGGGCGGAAGCCUUGCGGAGCAACGCCGCGUGAGUGAUGAAGGUCUUCGGAUCGUAAAACUCUGUUAUUAGGGAAGAACAUCUGUGUAAGUAACUGUGCCCAUCUUGACGGUACCUAGUCAGAAAGCCCCGGCUAACUACGUG